Molecule: ribosomal RNA, 529 nt
Filed under: uncultured bacterium
Lineage: Bacteria
Description: bacterial SSU rRNA
Rfam family: Bacterial small subunit ribosomal RNA
Source: RNAcentral
AAUAGAUACCCUGGUAGUCCACGCCGUAAACGAUGAGUGCUAAGUGUUAGAGGGUUUCCGCCCUUUAGUGCUGCAGCUAACGCAUUAAGCACUCCGCCUGGGGAGUACGGCCGCAAGGCUGAAACUCAAAGGAAUUGACGGGGGCCCGCACAAGCGGUGGAGCAUGUGGUUUAAUUCGAAGCAACGCGAAGAACCUUACCAGGUCUUGACAUCCUCUGCCAACCCUAGAGAUAGGGCGUUCCCCUUCGGGGGACAGAGUGACAGGUGGUGCAUGGUUGUCGUCAGCUCGUGUCGUGAGAUGUUGGGUCAAGUCCCGCAACGAGCGCAACCCUUGAUCUUAGUUGCCAGCAUUUAGUUGGGCACUCUAAGGUGACUGCCGGUGACAAACCGGAGGAAGGUGGGGAUGACGUCAAAUCAUCAUGCCCCUUAUGACCUGGGCUACACACGUGCUACAAUGGAUGGUACAAAGAGCUGCGAACCCGCGAGGGUAAGCGAAUCUCAUAAAGCCAUUCUCAGUUCGGAUUGUAGG